UUGUUAAAGGGAGAACAAUUCAAGUUCACAGAUGCAGAGAAAUAGACACAGAUGUAGACAUGAAAGCAUACUGCACAACGCCAAGCCCAACUCCACCAUGCCAGGGGUCCCCCUUACAACCAAUGCCACCCUUUUACAAGAAUAACAGAGAGGCAGAGUGAGCAAAAUUGAGAAGCAGACCUCUUUCUCCUGGGGACUCUUCUGUGCUUCUUCUUUCUUUUGUUAUUGGUACCUUCCUGCCAUCAGAUACCCAGGUCCAGCUUGCUUCUCUGGGCCACAUAAGCGUUUGUUGUAUGCCUAUCAUGUGCCAGGCACUGCCAGGGUGACCAUGUUCCUUCAUGAGGCUGUCCCAAGCAAUAUGACAUUUUAUUGUCCUUCAUUGAAUAUUGUGCAUCAGCUGAAUUCCUUUUCAAAGGGUGCCUAGUAAAUACCAUAGAUAAUUCUUUCAUCCACCUUUUUCAGUUUAGAAAACCCUAUCUACUGCAAUAUUGUUGGACUGAACCAAUUGUUCCCAACUCUUUUUCCGAGACCAAUAAAUAUCUCUAAUCCCAAGUGUUACAGGCAAAUAAAAAUGUAAUUAUCUUAUUGAUGACAAGAAAGCUACAAACA
Macaca mulatta (Rhesus monkey) is the source of this 609-nucleotide non-coding RNA. The record is from RefSeq and is a predicted model, not a curated record. Lineage: Eukaryota; Metazoa; Chordata; Mammalia; Primates; Cercopithecidae.